Pan paniscus (pygmy chimpanzee) is the source of this 228-nucleotide long non-coding RNA. NCBI's taxonomy places the organism in Eukaryota, Metazoa, Chordata, Mammalia, Primates, Hominidae. The record is from Ensembl.
ACAGCCUCCACUAUGAUGAAAUAGAAAGGGCUCUGCCACUUACUACACAUCCAGAUGGAGGCACUGGUAACAUGGCCUUCCUUGCUACUUGUGCUACUAGACAUAAACUGGAUCUCCAUCCAAGCUCUGACAGUCACUGAUGGAAUCAAUGUCAUUGGGGCAUGGAAAACAGCACAGUUCAUGACCCGUGGUAGUAGGCCGAGCGGUGGACUAAGACAUCGGGGGUGA